CCUGCCAGUAGUCAUAUGCUUGUCUCAAAGAUUAAGCCAUGCAUGUGUAAGUAUAAGUAUUGUACAGCGAAACUGCGAAUGGCUCAUUAAAUCAGUUAUUAUUUACAUGAUAAUCGAAAGUUACAUGGAUAACCGUGACAAAUUACAGCUAAUACAUGCAUUCAGACCUGGUCCAAGGGUCGUAAUUAUUAGUAUUAAACCUCUGCCGCAAGGCGUGUGAUGAAUCAUAAUAAUCGAACGAAUCGCAGAAUUCUGCGAUAAAUCAUUCAAGUUUCUGCCCUAUCAGCUUUGGAUGGUAGUGUAUUGGACUACCAUGGCAGUCACGGGUAACGGAGAAUUAGGGUUCGAUUCCGGAGAGGGAGCCUGAGAAACGGCUACCACAUCUACGGAAGGCAGCAGGCGCGAAAAUUGCCCAAUCCCGACACGGGGAGGCAGUGACAAGAAAUAACAACUCUUGGAUUUCUAAGAAGUGUAAUGAGGAUAAUUUACAACCCUUACCGAAAGCAAUUGGAGGGCAAGUCUGGUGCCAGCAGCCGCGGUAAUUCCAGCUCCAAUAGCAUAUAUUAAAGUUGUUGCAGUUAAAAAGCUCGUAGUUGAAGUUCUGGCUGUUCGAUCCUCGAGCUCUGUAGCCGAGGACUCGACAGUCAUCCGCUUGCAAUUAUAUGUUCUCCUUUAACCGGGAGGCUAUAUGAGUAAGCAUUUUACCUUGAGAAAAACAGAGUGUUCCAGGCAGGUAUGUCCGGAAUGCGUUAGCAUGGAAUAAUAGAAUAUGACUGAAGUCGAUUUAUUGGUUUGAGGCUUUAGUAAUGAUUAAUAGGAACAGUCGGGGGCAUUGGUACUUGACAGUCAGAGGUGAAAUUCUAGGAUUUGUCAAAGACUAACAAAUGCGAAAGCAUUUGCCAAGGAUGUUUUCAUUAAUCAAGAACGAAAGUUAGGGGAUCAAAGACGAUCAGAUACCGUCCUAGUCUUAACUAUAAACUAUACCGACUCGGAUUCGGAUGAAUCAAAAAGUUCAUUCGGGACCGUAGGAGAAAUCAAAGUUUUUGGGUUCUGGGGGAAGUAUGGUCGCAAGGCUGAAACUUAAAGGAAUUGACGGUUUUGCACCACCAUGGAGUGGAGUCUGCGGCUUAAUUUGACCCAACACUGGGAAACUCAUCAGGGCAAGAAGAUUUUAGGAUUGACAGAUUGAGAGUUCUUUCUUGAUUGGUCUAGUGGUGGUGCAUGGCCGUUCUUAGUUGGUGGAGUGAUUUGUCUGGUUAAUUCCGUUAACGAACGAGACCUUAACCUGCUAACUAGUACGUGGAUCUCAAAUCCAUGCUACUUCUUAGAGGGACUAUGUGAUGUAAUCACAUGGAAGUUUGAGGCAAU
Molecule: ribosomal RNA, 1368 nt
Filed under: Vorticellides sp.
Lineage: Eukaryota; Ciliophora; Oligohymenophorea; Sessilida; Vorticellidae
Description: SSU rRNA
Rfam family: Eukaryotic small subunit ribosomal RNA
Source: RNAcentral